GUGCACCAGUCGCGAAAACUCCGCAAUGCGCGAAAGCGUGACGGGGGAACCCCAAGUGCCGUUGGACUUUUGUUCGACGGCUUUUAUGGAGUCUAUGAAGCUCCAGGAAUAAGGGCUGGGUAAGUCGGGUGCCAGCCGCCGCGGUAAUACCCGCAGCCCAAGUGGUGGUCGCGAUUAUUGGGCCUAAAGCGCUCGUAGCCGGGUUGGCAAGUCCCUUGUGAAAUCGGGCGGCUUAACCGUUCGGCUUGCAAGGGAUACUGCCAGUCUUGAGGCCGGGAGACGUCAAGGGUACUCUGAGGGUAGCGGUGAAAUGCUCUAAUCCUCGGGGGACCACCAGUGGCGAAGGCGCUUGACGAGAACGGACCUGACGGUGAGGGGCGAAGGCUAGGGGAGCGAACGGGAUUAGAUACCCCGGUAGUCC
RNAcentral lists this ribosomal RNA (421 nucleotides) under uncultured Methanobacteriales archaeon. Its description in RNAcentral is "partial 16S ribosomal RNA". It matches the Rfam family "Archaeal small subunit ribosomal RNA", at positions 330 to 747 of the family's 1478-position model. The record is from RNAcentral. Lineage: Archaea; Methanobacteriati; Methanobacteriota; Methanobacteria; Methanobacteriales.